Long non-coding RNA from Sinocyclocheilus rhinocerous, 115 nucleotides. RefSeq lists it as uncharacterized. The transcript has 3 exons. The record is from RefSeq and is a predicted model, not a curated record. Lineage: Eukaryota; Metazoa; Chordata; Actinopteri; Cypriniformes; Cyprinidae.
CAUUGUGCGUGUCUCUACUGCUGCUCAUUAAUGCUGAAAUAAUCAAUGGACAAACACCAGUGACAGCGACAUUGAACACGACUGCCUCACAGCCAGGAGUCAGAGGUAAAGAUGG